Molecule: ribosomal RNA, 253 nt
Filed under: uncultured bacterium
Lineage: Bacteria
Description: partial 16S ribosomal RNA
Rfam family: Bacterial small subunit ribosomal RNA
Source: RNAcentral
CACGUAGGGUGCGAGCGUUGUCCGGAAUUAUUGGGCGUAAAGAGCUCGUAGGCGGUUUGUUGCGUCGGCUGUGAAAUCCCGAGGCUCAACCUCGGGUCUGCAGUCGAUACGAGCAAACUAGAGUGUUGCAGGGGAGACUGGAAUUCCUGGUGUAGCGGUGAAAUGCGCAGAUAUCAGGAGGAACACCGGUGGCGAAGGCGGGUCUCUGGGCAACAACUGACGCUGAGGAGCGAAAGCCAGGGGAGCAAACGGG